UCAUCAAAUUGGGAUUAGGGUAAAAGAACCUGGUGACCGUUCAGCUUCUUCUCUCUCGUGCGAACGACGGCGCUAUGAACAUCCUCCGAUUGCUCUCCGGCCACCGGCGACUAGCUUCCCCUCUCUCACCUUCUCUUCGCUCACAUACCUCUCGAUUCAAGCUUCGCCCCGAUUCAUGCUUCACCUCGUUUCUGACUUGACUCAACUCUCACUCUCCUCUUCGCCUGCGAUGAAAGUCGUUGUGAAUGUGAAGCCGACACAGUGGUGAUGUCGUUGUUCGUUGUUGAUGGACGCUGGACGUUGUUGCAAAGCGUUGAGGAUGACGAUGCUGAAUGAACGCGGUGGUUGAAGAUUGUUAUGCAGGGGAGACUCAAAUGAUGAAUCGGUGAUGAUGAUGAACGUAAUGCUGUUGCAAAGUUCUCGAAGAUGCAGAAUCGCAGAAUCACGUGAUGCCAGAGUGAUGAAUCAAAACGAUGAAGGCGAAGGUGAUGUUUAUCUAUUCUUGCUGUUAGCCACGAGGAUCGAUAUCAAAAGGUGAAGAACUGAGUCGUGAUCUUGAAUAACUCCGAUUGAAGAAGAGAGCAAGGUCGAAGAUUGAUGCAGAGAGGAAGAUGAAGAUUUUUCGGUUGUUCAGAUUUUUUUGAGAGUGAGAGGAUGAUAAGAGAUGAAGAUGGUGAUGGAAACUGAAGGUUGGUGAACAAAAAUGGUGAAGGUUCAGGUGAUGCAGGGUGAGGAAGAGAGUGAAGAUGAUGAAUGGGAGUGAAGGAUUCAAGGGAAAUGGUUGAAGAAACUCUUUGAAGUGUAGUGAUUCUGAUUUAUAGAGGUGAGUUCCUUCUCUGAUUUCUGUUACCUCUCUUGUGAUUCAUUUGGAAAAUGUUUAGCAUUUGUAACUGAUUCAGUUUUGGUAGUUACAUUCUCCUCUUCUCAUUCUGUUAAUUCUGUUAGUGACAGUUAGGGAAGUUAGAUUCUGUUUUUGAUCUUUUCUGUUGAUUCAGUUACCUCGAUAACAAACUGUUAGGGUUAGUUAUAUGUAGUAACUGAUUCUGUUAGGGGUGGUUAUAGGUGGUUAUAGGUGGUUAGAAGGUUGUUAGUUGUUAGGAAAGGUUUAGUAACAAACUGUUUUUUUGUUAUUGGAUUCUGUUUGAAGGUUAUGUGCUAACUGUCAGUUUGGAGAGAUGUUUUUUUCUGAAUUUGAACAAACUAAAUGGAGAUGAGUAAUGCUGAAUGUGUAUUUCAAAUGUUGCUGUUAA
Molecule: long non-coding RNA, 1250 nt
Organism: Vicia villosa (hairy vetch)
Lineage: Eukaryota; Viridiplantae; Streptophyta; Magnoliopsida; Fabales; Fabaceae
Exons: 2
Source: RefSeq, a predicted model, not a curated record